GCGGGGGUGGUGGAACUGGUAGACACGCUAGAUUUAGGAUCUAGUGCCGCAAGGCGUGGGGGUUCAACUCCCCCCUCCCGCA
RNAcentral lists this transfer RNA (82 nucleotides) under Deltaproteobacteria bacterium. RNAcentral's name for it is "tRNA-Leu". It matches the Rfam family "tRNA". Rfam says of the family: Transfer RNA (tRNA) molecules are approximately 80 nucleotides in length. Their secondary structure includes four short double-helical elements and three loops (D, anti-codon, and T loops). The record is from RNAcentral. Lineage: Bacteria; Pseudomonadati; Myxococcota; Myxococcia.